CCGGGAACAGAACAGGAAUGGAGUCUUAGAACUUAAACCACUUCUGCAAUACUGCCUAUUAAAGGAAACAACUUCAAUGCCACCUCUGCUGAAAUCGCAAGUCCCUUCCUCUCAUCUCGUUAAGUUGUAAAUGAUGUACAUCCUGCAAAACAGGGAGAAAAAUACUGGACUUCAUCUCUGCCACAAACUGGGUAAUAAAAGGAGCGUAAGCAGU
Dermochelys coriacea (leatherback sea turtle) is the source of this 214-nucleotide long non-coding RNA. RefSeq lists it as uncharacterized. The transcript is spliced from 3 exons. NCBI's taxonomy places the organism in Eukaryota, Metazoa, Chordata, Testudines, Dermochelyidae. The record is from RefSeq and is a predicted model, not a curated record.